UCGGUCCUACGGGAGGCAGCAGUGAGGAAUAUUGGUCAAUGGCCGAGAGGCUGAACCAGCCAAGUCGCGUGAGGGAAGAAUGUCCUAAGGAUUGUAAACCUCUUUUGUCGGGGAGCAAAAAGGCUCUGCGGAGUCGUAUUGAGAGUACCCGAAGAAAAAGCAUCGGCUAACUCCGUGCCAGCAGCCGCGGUAAUACGGAGGAUGCGAGCGUUAUCCGGAUUUAUUGGGUUUAAAGGGUGCGCAGGCGGGCUGUUAAGCCGGCGGUAAAAAUUCAGGGCCCAACCCUGUCGAGCCGUCGGAACUGG
RNAcentral lists this ribosomal RNA (305 nucleotides) under uncultured bacterium. RNAcentral describes it as "bacterial SSU rRNA". It matches the Rfam family "Bacterial small subunit ribosomal RNA", at positions 333 to 636 of the family's 1533-position model. The record is from RNAcentral.